UACGUAGGGUGCAAGCGUUAAUCGGAAUUACUGGGCGUAAAGCGUGCGCAGGCGGUUGUGCAAGACAGGUGUGAAAUCCCCGGGCUUAACCUGGGAACUGCACUUGUGACUGCACGGCUGGAGUACGGCAGAGGGGGAUGGAAUUCCGCGUGUAGCAGUGAAAUGCGUAGAUAUGCGGAGGAACACCGAUGGCGAAGGCAGUCCCCUGGGCCUGUACUGACGCUCAUGCACGAAAGCGCGGGGAGCAAACGGG
Molecule: ribosomal RNA, 253 nt
Filed under: uncultured bacterium
Lineage: Bacteria
Description: partial 16S ribosomal RNA
Rfam family: Bacterial small subunit ribosomal RNA
Source: RNAcentral